AAUCGGCAAACUAAGCGAAAGCUUAGGACGCAAAGCACAGUGUCUAAUGCAAGUUUUUGCAAUGAUUGACUGGCUGC
This 77-nucleotide non-coding RNA is filed under the name chicken gut metagenome. RNAcentral's name for it is "Cyclic di-GMP-I riboswitch". It matches the Rfam family "c-di-GMP-I riboswitch aptamer", at positions 7 to 83 of the family's 87-position model. Rfam says of the family: GEMM was predicted in a large-scale screen for bacterial structured RNA regulatory elements. The record is from RNAcentral.